Molecule: ribosomal RNA, 255 nt
Filed under: uncultured bacterium
Lineage: Bacteria
Description: partial 16S ribosomal RNA
Rfam family: Bacterial small subunit ribosomal RNA
Source: RNAcentral
UACGGAGGGUGCAAGCAUUAAUCGGAUUUACUGGGCGUAAAGGGCGCGUAGGCGGAUUGGUAAGUCAAAUGUGAAAUUCCGAAGCUCAACUUCGGAGCUGCAUUUGAAACUGCCAGUCUAUAGAGGGAUGACGGAGAAAAUGGAAUUCCACAUGUAGCGGUGAAAUGCGUAGAUAUGUGGAAGAACACCAGUGGCGAAAGCGGUUUUCUAGUUAUUACCUGACGCUGAGGCGCGAGAGCAUGGGGAGCAAACAGG